RNAcentral lists this unclassified non-coding RNA (338 nucleotides) under soil metagenome. RNAcentral's name for it is "partial contains 5.8S ribosomal RNA, internal transcribed spacer 2, and large subunit ribosomal RNA". The stretch from base 1 to 120 matches the Rfam family "5.8S ribosomal RNA", at positions 35 to 154 of the family's 154-position model. The record is from RNAcentral.
GAUGAAGAACGUAGCGAAAUGCGAUACGUAGUGUGAAUUGCAGAAUUCAGUGAAUCAUCGAAUCUUUGAACGCACAUUGCACCUCUCGGUAUUCCGGGAGGUAUGCCUGUUCGAGCGUCAUUUGUACCCUCAAGCUCUGCUUGGUGUUGGGUGUUUGUUCCGCCUCUGUGUGUGAACUCGCCUCAAACAAUUGGCAGCCGGCGUACUUGUUUCGGAGCGCAGCACAUUUUGCGAUCCAGAUCAACGUACAGCGGCAUCCAAGAAGCCUUAUUUAACGCUCUUGACCUCGGAUCAGGUAGGGAUACCCGCUGAACUUAAGCAUAUCAAUAAGCGGAGGA